AUGAUUCAGCAAUUGAUCACUUAGCUCACAGGCAGAGGAAGAACACAGCUAGCUGUGAGAAUUAAUGUGAAUUACAAGACACACUGAUCAUCAACACUUCAAACUAACUUGCAGCCCUAAGUAUUUUUUUAGAGCUAUGCCAAAACAAAACAUA
RNAcentral lists this ribosomal RNA (154 nucleotides) under Neogale vison (American mink). RNAcentral's name for it is "Neovison vison (American mink) 5.8S ribosomal RNA (ENSNVIG00000004589.1)". It matches the Rfam family "5.8S ribosomal RNA". From Rfam's summary of the family: 5.8S ribosomal RNA (5.8S rRNA) is a component of the large subunit of the eukaryotic ribosome. The record is from Rfam by way of RNAcentral. Lineage: Eukaryota; Metazoa; Chordata; Mammalia; Carnivora; Mustelidae.